GGAGGUAUACUCAAGUCUGGCUGAAGAGAAUAGUCUUGAAAACUAUCAGGCGGGUCAAACCGCGCGGGGGUUCGAAUCCCUCUACCUCCUCCA
Molecule: transfer RNA, 93 nt
Filed under: Candidatus Kurthia equi
Lineage: Bacteria; Bacillati; Bacillota; Bacilli; Caryophanales; Caryophanaceae
Description: tRNA-Ser
Rfam family: tRNA
About the family: Transfer RNA (tRNA) molecules are approximately 80 nucleotides in length.
Source: RNAcentral